GCAGCGGAAGAAGCUUAAAACCUAGGUUUUGGAGUUUGAUCGGUGGAAAAGGUUAGGGUUCGAGGUAACAGAGGUUUUAAUCGGUGGAAGUUUGAAAGAAAUGGAGGAGUAGCUGUUUGAACGGUGAAACAAGAGGUUUCACCGAUUGAAUCGAUGGAAGGAAAGGAUUCUCGGUUUUUUGAACGGUAAAGUGAAAGAGAGUCCGGUGAGGGAAGAUCUCGUGAUGAAAUGGUGAAAGGCUGGCGAUCUGGAACAGAAAAUGGAGCUUACCAUGGUGGUCGGCGGUUGGCUAUGAGGAGCUCGAGAGAGAAGGCUCUCGAUAAGAAACCCUAGGUUUGUGAUGAAAUGUGAGAUUGAUUUGGUUUGUGGUGUAAGAUCACGAAGAUUUAGCGUGAAAGGUAAGUGUAGGCGUGGCAGUUGAUCUGGUAAGCCACGAGGACGCUCUGGAUUGGUGGAAGAGGUAUGCGGUGGCUGAAAUAGAAAUCUGAAGUGGAAAAUGUAUGAAGUGCAAUGUGAUAGGAAGGUGGCUGAGAGAAUCCCUUGGAUUCUUCAGCCUUGACUUUCAAGGAAUUAAUUCUGGAGUAUUCUCAACAGGAAAUUAAUUCAUUAUCUCAAAAGUAAGUACAAGAAGUGUAGGCAUGGCUAUUUAUAGAACUAGAAGUCCCACAUGCCUAACACAAUACAAAGUACAUAAAAGAAAGAAUACACUAAAGACAUUGGGUUUGGGCCCCGCGUAUCAUCCCCUCCCUCUUGGAAAGGAUUUGUCCUCAAAUUUGAUGGUUCGCCUGAGGACUUAUUUUUGUAAACUCCAUAGAAGUUCUUCCUGGAUCAAAUAUUAAUCUACAAUAAGCAUCAAACAUAUCUCUAAUUAGUUUUAUUUGACCCAAUAAGAUGUAUAAAGAAAUAUGUCUAGAAGAAGGUUUCCUAGUUUAAAAUUUUCAAGUUUAUGACUAAAACGAAACCUUACUUCAUUUGAAAAUUUAUUUUUGUCUUGAGUUAAUGAUAACUUGAAAGAUAUCUCUAACUCAAGUCUUUGAUUGCCAUGUGUUAAAGAUUGAAACUUUUGAAAAGGUUUAAUGGCAAUUCCUUGGGAAGAAAAGAUAGAAUUAGAACAUUCAAUAACAAAUGGUAAGUGAAAAGAUAGAAAACCUCCCCUUAAAAGUUUGAAUUCUUUUGUAAUAGUAGGAGAUGUUGCCAUCAAUCUCUUCUCUUCCAUUUUCUUCUUUUCAAUUUCUUCUGUCACUUUCUUUUGUACUCUCUCUUCCAAUUCUCUCUUGUCGUCUUCCUUUCUUUCUUUCUCUUUUCUUAUUCUCUCGUUUUCUUCCUCCUCUUCUCUUCUCUGUUGCUCUCUCCUUUUUUCCUUAUCUCUUCUCUCUUUUUCUUCCUCUUCUCUUCUUACUUGUUCUCUUCUCUCUCUUGCUUCCUCUAUUCUUUCUUGCUCUCUCUUUAAUCACUUUAUCCUAUAUUUGCUUGAUUCUUCCCAUUACCUCGUAAGUUUCUCUAAAAACUCACUUUCUCUACGAGAGAACCCACUUAAAUUUUGAAUGAACAACUUGCCUUCUCUAAUAAGCUCUCUCAUAAGUUCUAAGUUACUUUGAAUAUUUGGAGGCACAAACUUUCUUCUCAAACAAGCUUUCAAUUCUUUCCAAUUAUGAAUGGGGGAUUUUCUACCUAUCCUAACAUGAUAUGCUCUUUCAUCCCACCACUCUC
RNAcentral lists this long non-coding RNA (1710 nucleotides) under Vigna radiata. Its description in RNAcentral is "long non-coding RNA (VRAD_LNC012310)". The record is from RNAcentral. Lineage: Eukaryota; Viridiplantae; Streptophyta; Magnoliopsida; Fabales; Fabaceae.